RNAcentral lists this ribosomal RNA (464 nucleotides) under uncultured bacterium. RNAcentral describes it as "partial 16S ribosomal RNA". It matches the Rfam family "Bacterial small subunit ribosomal RNA", at positions 338 to 795 of the family's 1533-position model. The record is from RNAcentral.
CCUACGGGAGGCAGCAGUGGGGAAUAUUGCGCAAUGGGCGAAAGCCUGACGCAGCGACGCCGCGUGAGGGAUGAAGGUCUUCGGAUCGUAAACCUCUGUCAGCAGGGAAGAACGGUCACUGUGCUAAUCAGCAGUGAAUUGACGGUACCUGCACAGGAAGCACCGGCUAACUCCGUGCCAGCAGCCGCGGUAAUCCGGAGGGUGCGAGCGUUAAUCGGAAUUACUGGGCGUAAAGCGCGCGUAGGCGAUAUGGCAAGUCAGCGGUAAAAUCGGGGGGUACAACCUCGCUCCGCCGUUGAGACGGGCGUUCUUGAGUGGGGGAGAAGUAGGCGGAAUGCGUGGUGUAGCGGUGAAAUGCAUAGAUAUCACGAAGAACUCCGAUUGCGAAGGCAGGAUACCGGCGCGCAACUGACGCUGAAGAACGAAAGCGUGGGUAUCGAACAGGAUUAGAUACCCUUGUAGUC